Molecule: ribosomal RNA, 468 nt
Filed under: uncultured bacterium
Lineage: Bacteria
Description: partial 16S ribosomal RNA
Rfam family: Bacterial small subunit ribosomal RNA
Source: RNAcentral
GACGAACGCUGGCGGCGUGCUUAACACAUGCAAGUCGAACGGAAAGGCCCUGCUGUUGUCGGGUUCUCGAAUGGCGAACGGAUGAGUAACACGUGAGUAACCUACCGUCUACUGUGGGAUAACUUCAGGAAACUGGGGCUACUACCGCAUAGUAGCUUCUGCAGCCUGGUGGGGGUUGGCAAGUUUCGGCGGGUGGGGAUGGACUCGCGGCUUAGCAGCUCGUUGGGGGGGUAGUGCGUUACCACGGCUUUGACGGGUAUCCGGCCUGAGAGGGUGACCACGCACAUUGGGACUGAGAGACGGCGCAGACUGCUACAGUAGGCAGUAGUGGGGAACAUUGCACAAUGGGCGGAAGUCUAAGGAAGCAACGCUGCGGGCGGGAUGUAGGCUUUGGGGUGGGAAACGGAGUUCGCUUGUGACGAAGCGUGAGUGACGGUAAUGGGUAAAGAAGCACCGGCUAACUACGUG